GACGAACGCUGGCGGCGUGCCUAAUACAUGCAAGUAGAACGCUGAAGCGAGGAGCUUGCUCUUCUUGGAUGAGUUGCGAACGGGUGAGUAACGCGUAGGUAACCUGCCUUGUAGCGGGGGAUAACUAUUGGAAACGAUAGCUAAUACCGCAUAACAAUGGAUGACACAUGUCAUUUAUUUGAAAGGGGCAAUUGCUCCACUACAAGAUGGACCUGCGUUGUAUUAGCUAGUAGGUGAGGUAAUGGCUCACCUAGGCGACGAUACAUAGCCGACCUGAGAGGGUGAUCGGCCACACUGGGACUGAGACACGGCCCAGACUCCUACGGGAGGCAGCAGUAGGGAAUCUUCGGCAAUGGGGGAAACGCUGACCGAGCAACACCGCGUGAGAGAAGGAGGGUUGCAGGUCGUGGAAGUCUGUUAGAAGGCAAGAACGGGGAGGAGAGUGGAAAGGUCACACAGUGACGGUAGCUUACCAGAAAGGGACGGCUAACUACGUG
This 497-nucleotide ribosomal RNA is filed under the name uncultured bacterium. Its description in RNAcentral is "partial 16S ribosomal RNA". It matches the Rfam family "Bacterial small subunit ribosomal RNA", at positions 28 to 507 of the family's 1533-position model. The record is from RNAcentral.